GAUGAACGCUGGCGGCGUGCCUAAUACAUGCAAGUCGAGCGAAUGGAUUAAGAGCUUGCUCUUGUGAAGUUAGCGGCGGACGGGUGAGUAACACGUGGGUAACCUGCCCAUAAGACUGGGAUAACUCCGGGAAACCGGGGCUAAUACCGGAUAACAUUUUGAACCGCGUGGUUCGAAAUUGAAAGGCGGCUUCGGCUGUCACUUAUGGAUGGACCCGCGUCGCAUUAGCUAGUUGGUGAGGUAACGGCUCACCAAGGCAACGAUGCGUAGCCGACCUGGGAGGGUGAUCGGCCACACUGGGACUGGGACACGGCCCAGACUCCUACGGGAGGCAGCAGUAGGGAAUCUUACGCAAUGGACGAAAGUCUGACGGAGCAACGCCGCGUGGGUGAUGAAGGCUUUCGGGUCGUAAAACUCUGUUGUUAGGGAAGAACAAGUGCUAGUUGAAUAAGCUGGCACCUUGACGGUACCUAACCAGAAAGCCACGGCUAACUACGUGCCAGCCGCCGCGGUAA
Molecule: ribosomal RNA, 515 nt
Filed under: uncultured bacterium
Lineage: Bacteria
Description: partial 16S ribosomal RNA
Rfam family: Bacterial small subunit ribosomal RNA
Source: RNAcentral